This 253-nucleotide ribosomal RNA is filed under the name uncultured bacterium. RNAcentral's name for it is "partial 16S ribosomal RNA". It matches the Rfam family "Bacterial small subunit ribosomal RNA", at positions 524 to 776 of the family's 1533-position model. The record is from RNAcentral.
UACGAAGGGGGCGAGCGUUGUUCGGAUUUACUGGGCGUAAAGGGCGCGCAGGCGGUCAGAUAAGUCGAAUGUGAAAGCCCCCGGCUCAACUGGGGAGGGUCAUUCGAUACUGUUCGACUCGAAGGCAGGAGAGGGAAGUGGAAUUCCCGGUGUAGUGGUGAAAUGCGUAGAUAUCGGGAGGAACACCAGUGGCGAAGGCGACUUCCUGGCCUGUUCUUGACGCUGAGGCGCGAAAGCUAGGGGAGCAAACGGG